CUCCUGGCCUCAAGUAAUUCACCCACCUCGGCCUCCCAAAGUGCCGGGAUUAUAGGCGUGAGCCCCCGUGUCAAGCCAAGAUUAGGUUUCAUAGUCCAAGGUCCAUACCUUUGUUAAGAUAUUUUGGAUUUAAAAAAAGCUGUGAUGACAUCUGAGAUUCUUUGAACUGCUUUUUCAUAGAAUACUCAUGAAUACUUGAGCCCUCCAUGAAAAUGAGGGGUCUUAUAGAAAAAGUUUUAUGGGCUGUUGAUUGACUAAUUCUACAUUUCAGAGUCAAAAAUCUAUGUCUACUUUGGGUGACUUGUUUCUGUUAAAUUUCCUUGAGUCCCUUCUGUCUUCUGAUUUCAUUCUAUAAAAUCAUAGCAGUGUCUGAUUCCGGGAAUGACAUGUGGUUUUCAUUUUUUCAAAAACAACAUUCAGCUUUCCAUUACUUGUAAUCAUUGAAGAGCAUAAUGCACAGAUAGCUAGAUGGCAGAAAUUUCCAAACUCACUUGUAAUUAGCUCUGUAAAACAUUUAUAUACCUUUAAAAAAUCGUUCUUCCGAGCUGACAUAUGUAAAGUUAAAGUUAGCUGGCAUUUCUGAGCAGAGCCCAGUAGAAAGCAGUGUGAAGAUCCCAGGCUGAGAUGAUUUUUUCAGUCUGGUUUUUUAUUUCAUUGAUCUCCAAAGUGGGUUAUCUAUGGGCUGGUAAUUGAGAGUUGGCUGUGCAUACAGACCUAUCUCUUAACUGACUCUAAAACAAAACAAGGAAUGUGGCUUCAGUCAAGUCAACCUCUGAUGAAUGAGGGAGAUACUAACCUUCAACGAGCCCCUUUAAUCAGAGCACAGAAUAAUAAACGAUGAUGGGAUAAUUAGAAAACAAUUUAGAAAGCAACGUUAUAUCUCUACUUAUAUCAAUUGUUAGUAAAUUAAUUAAACUGCAAAUGGGUGGCAAGGGUUUUUUUAAGCAAACCCCUAAUGUAGAAACUUUAAGGAAAAAGAAUGAUAGGACUUUUUCAAAACAAUCACCAAAAACUGUGCUUUCAGUAACAAUUGAAAACAAGUGAAAUAGUGUGGAUAUUUGUCUCCUCCAAAUCUAAUGUUGAAAUUUGAUCUCCAAUGUUGGAUGUGGGGCCUAGUGGGAGGUGUUUGGGUCUUGGGGCGGAUCCCUCAUGAAUGGUUUCAUGCCAUCCAAGUAGUAGUGUGUGAGUUCUCACUCGACCAGUUCACACAAGAAUUGAUUGUUAAAAAGAGCCUGGGACCUUUCUCUCCUCCAGCUCUUCCUUUCACUUGUUAUGUGAUGCCUGCUCCUGUCUAUCUUUCACCAUGAGUAGAAGUUCCUUGAGGCCCUAACCAGAAGCGGAUGCUGGUGCCCUGCUUCUUGUACAGCCUCCAGAACCAUGAGCCAAAUAACCUCUUUUUGUUAUACAUUAUCCAGCCUCCCAUAUUCCUUUAUAGCAAUACCAACAGACUAAGACAGUAAGAAAAAAUUUAAAAAACAUAUACAUGACAUGAAUGACUUGAAAAAAGAGGGAGAGAUAGACCUUUACAAGAUACAAUUGGAAGUACAAAAGCUAUAAAGGAAAGUCUAGAUACUCUUUACCGCAUAAAAGCAUUUUAAAGUCUGUAUGAAAAGCAAUGCUUUAUAAAUAAAGCCAAAAGACAAGCAAUAUGCAGAAGAAAAUGCUUGUAACAUAUAAGACAGAUUAAAAAUGAUAACAGAAAAAACAUAAGACUUAUUAUGCGUCAGAUACUUAUAAGAUGUAUGACAAAUUAAAAAUGAUAACAGCAAACAUAGGACAUUAGACAUUAUGCAUCAGGUGCUAUUCAAGACAUUUUACAUAUUAACUCCUUUAAUCCUCACAAAGAUGAAUAUUACCUAAUGAAGUAGGUACUAUUAUUACCCUAUUUUGCUGAUAAGAAAACUGAGACCUUUCUGGUCUCAAGAACAAGGACAAGGUGGAAUUCGGAUCCAGGCAGUAUGGCUCUAGGGUGUGUGCUCUCAGUUAUCAUAUCAUAAUGUGUCUCUUAAAAACUUUAAAAUGUGAAUGCUGUAUACAGUGUUAACAGUGAUGUGGAUGACAGCACAGAAGGCAACUACUCUCACCUACUGCAGGUAAGAAUGUAAAUUGAACAAUUUCUCAAGGUCAAUUCGAUAUGACUUAACGAAAAGCCAUAGAAUUCUGUAUGGACAUUUGACCCAGAAAUUCCACUUGUUUUUUAUAGUAUCAAUUUAAAAUGGAUCCUUAUUCAUCGACACAUGAAUUUUAUAUACCUUAAAAAAAUUACACGAAGUUGGUGGCAAUCAGAAUCCGGGUGCCGGAUUUCAGUUUUUGCUUGUUUACAGCACUGCCAGAGUGUACGAAAGUAUUCAAAAUAUGACCAAAUUUAAGCAACCUCAGAUAAUGGUUGUUAUUUCUCCCCUCCAUACCAAACCAUUUUCUGUUCUUGAGUACACAAUUGGACUACAUAUCCCAGCCUUCCUGCAGUUAGAUCACAUGACUGAGUUCUAGUAAUGAAUACCAUUUCUGGGACAAAGCUUUAAAGAAGGAGGUGUGCCACCUCCAAGCUCUCAUUUUCCUUUCACUGACUGGAGGUGGAUGAUGAAUAUGAAGCCUCGACGAAGAGAAGGCAAAAUGAGUUUGUGUCCCUGAGUUGCUAAGUGGAGAAGAAACGUCCACCAACCAGGAAACACCUGCCUCCAACUGUUAACAGGUCUGUGAAAUGUGCUUUCUUUCUGGUCAGCAUGGUCACCCGCUUUAAUAGUGGCUUCAGAUGAGGCACUUUGUGACAGAGGAGCUCUGCCCCUGGUAAGCCGUUUCUCUUGAUAUGUCUUCAGCUCCUUGAUAACAGCUUGUGAUGAUGAUCUUGCAGACUUCUCCAGCUUUUCUGCUGAUACGCAGAUUCUUCUUCUCAGCAGGCUGAUUCUUGCUCAGCUAGCUAAUGAUUUUAUUGAAUCUUCAAGAAUCUUGUGUUUGCCCUCCAUCAUUGUUCUGACCUUAAAUUUUCUUAUUUUCCACCUUGUCCUUAGUGAAGACUGUGGAUUUAAGUGAGUUCUUAGAGUUCUUAGGAGAUACUAACUAUGUUUCUCUGCUUCUCCUUUUCUGUGUGUGCGUUGAACUUCUCAGCAUUUUGGACUAUGUAAUUAAGAGCUUCAUUAAUCAACAUAUUCUUCCACGUGGUGACUUAAUACUCUCCUGUUUGGCCUCUUUGUUCACAGCAGCAACCUUGAAGAUGUUGUGGAAGUCAAUAGUCAUUCUUACUUCACUCUGAGGACCACAAUAGCGUGCAAGGGUGUGUCAAGCUCAUUGCUAUCUUUGGCCAUUCUCUCUCACAUUAGUACACCUGGAUGUGAAUGGCAUGUUAUCUAUGAAGCAGUGAUGGUCUCUAUCUGGUGGUAGAAAUGACGGAAUUACACACAAUCAGGACAGCUGAGAUUCCAUUUACUAGCUCAGUAAUCAGAGAAUAUGUAUGACAUCCCAGCAAAAAAAUGUUGAACAUGUUCAGAUUUCAUCGUAUCAGCACCACGGUAUCAGUCUUACUGGGAAGACGCUUGCAUUCAGUUCCUGGCUACUGAAGAAAUUUUGCAGGAGUUCCAGAUAACUUACUGGGUCCAUAAUAAUGAAAACUAUUACAAUUAUGCUAAAGAAGAAUACUUAAUAACACAGAAAAUGUUCAUGAUGUCUUUUAAUUUAGAAAGCAGGUUAUAAAAGUAUUACAGUAUGAUCGCAUAUUUAUAAGUAAAAUAUAUAUAAAUUCAUUUAGCAAAUAAAUAUUAAGCCCCUCCUA
Molecule: long non-coding RNA, 3766 nt
Organism: Cercocebus atys (sooty mangabey)
Lineage: Eukaryota; Metazoa; Chordata; Mammalia; Primates; Cercopithecidae
Exons: 2
Source: RefSeq, a predicted model, not a curated record